Molecule: ribosomal RNA, 597 nt
Filed under: Trichaster melanocephalus
Lineage: Eukaryota; Fungi; Basidiomycota; Agaricomycetes; Geastrales; Geastraceae
Description: eukaryotic LSU rRNA
Rfam family: 5.8S ribosomal RNA (bases 185-339)
Source: RNAcentral
CAUUACUGAAGAAACAAGGGUUUUGAGACUGCGUCCUUCAAUUGGGCGUGUGCUCGACUCUUACUCUUUCAUAUCCCAUACACACCUUUGUGCACCAAGGGGACCCUUGUGUCCCCCUUUUUUUCAUAAAUACCGAGUUAUAUGCAUGUAUAGUUUGUAUACUCUACGGAGUUAUUAUAAAUACAACUUUCAACAACGGAUCUCUUGGCUUUCGCAUCGAUGAAGAACGCAGCGAACGUGCGAAACGUAAUGUGAAUUGCAGAAUUCAGUGAAUCAUCGAAUCUUUGAACGCAUCUUGCGCUCCUUGGUAUUCCGAGGAGCAUGCCUGUUUGAGUGUCGUGAAUAACUCUCAAUUUCAAAUAUUUUUUAAAAAAAAGAAUAUCUGACAUUGGACUUGGGCGUUGUCGUGUUUCUACGACUCGUCCUAAAUGCAUUAGCGAUCUGCCCUGAUCACACACAAUGUGAUAAGUAAAAAAUAAAGCAUUGUUAUGGUUGGGUUUGAAAGAUGGCUUCUAACCGUCGUAAUGACAAAUAAAAGACCAUGUCGUUUGACCUCAAAUCAGGCAGGACUACCCGCUGAACUUAAGCAUAUCAAUA